UUGGAGGGCAAGUCUGGUGCCAGCAGCCGCGGUAAUUCCAGCUCCAAUAGCGUAUAUUAAAGUUGUUGCAGUUAAAAAGCUCGUAGUUGAAUUUCGGGGUUAGCAGGUUGGUCGUGCCACUGGUAUGAACUGGCCUUGCUGAUUCCUCCCUCUUGAUGAGCCGUAAUGCCAUUAAUUUGGUGUUGCGAGGAAUCAGGACUGUUACUUUGAAAAAAUUAGAGUGUUUAAAGCAGGCAAGCGCUUGAAUACAUUAGCAUGGAAUAAUGAAAUAGGACGUUUGAUCUUAUUUUGUUGGUUUCUAAGAUUGACGUAAUGAUUAAUAGGGAUAGUUGGGGGCAUUAGUAUUCAAUUGUCAGAGGUGAAAUUCUUGGAUUUAUUGAAGACUAACUACUGCGAAAGCAUUUGCCAAGGAUGUUUUCAUUAAUCAAGAACGAAAGUUAGGGGAUCGAAGACGAUCAGAUACCGUCGUAGUCUUAACCAUAAACUAUGCCGACUAGGGAUCGGACNANNUUAAUUUUGAUGUGUUGUUCGGCACCUUACGGGAAAC
RNAcentral lists this ribosomal RNA (547 nucleotides) under uncultured Glomus. RNAcentral describes it as "SSU rRNA". It matches the Rfam family "Eukaryotic small subunit ribosomal RNA", at positions 548 to 1098 of the family's 1831-position model. The record is from RNAcentral. Lineage: Eukaryota; Fungi; Glomeromycota; Glomeromycetes; Glomerales; Glomeraceae.